Molecule: ribosomal RNA, 422 nt
Filed under: uncultured archaeon
Lineage: Archaea
Description: partial 16S ribosomal RNA
Rfam family: Archaeal small subunit ribosomal RNA
Source: RNAcentral
CUACGGGCGGCAGCAGCAGGGGAUCUUUUGCAAUGCGCGAAAGCGUGACAAAGCGAGCCAGAGUGUUUCUCGCAUAGAGAAACUUUUGCCAGCUGUAAAAAGGCUGGCGAAUAAGGACUGGGCAAGACCGGUGCCAGCCGCCGCGGUAAUCCCGGCAGUCCAAGUCGCAGCCAACUUUAUUGGGUCUAAAACAUCCGUAGCUUGCUUUGUUAGUCUAUUGUGAAAUUCUGUCUCUUAAAGGCAGAAAUGGCAACAGAUACUGCAAGGCUAGAGACUGGUGGAUGCGAGGAGUACAUCCAAGGUAGUAGUAAAAUACGUUAAUCUUGGAUGGACUAACAACAGCGAAGGCACCUCGCAAUGACAGUUCUGACAGUGAGGGAUGAAGGCUAGGGGCGCAAAAUGGAUUAGAUACCCCCGUAGUC